RNAcentral lists this transfer RNA (72 nucleotides) under Ovis aries (sheep). It matches the Rfam family "tRNA". From Rfam's summary of the family: Transfer RNA (tRNA) molecules are approximately 80 nucleotides in length. Their secondary structure includes four short double-helical elements and three loops (D, anti-codon, and T loops). Further hydrogen bonds mediate the characteristic L-shaped molecular structure. tRNAs have two regions of fundamental functional importance: the anti-codon, which is responsible for specific mRNA codon recognition, and the 3' end, to which the tRNAs corresponding amino acid is attached (by aminoacyl-tRNA synthetases). tRNAs cope with the degeneracy of the genetic code in two manners: having more than one tRNA (with a specific anti-codon) for a particular amino acid; and 'wobble' base-pairing, i.e. permitting non-standard base-pairing at the 3rd anti-codon position. The record is from Rfam by way of RNAcentral. Lineage: Eukaryota; Metazoa; Chordata; Mammalia; Artiodactyla; Bovidae.
UCCCUUCUAGCUCAGUUGGUAAAGAGUCUGCCUGCAAUGCAGAAGACCCAGGUUCAAUUCCUGGGUCGGGAA